Molecule: ribosomal RNA, 492 nt
Filed under: uncultured bacterium
Lineage: Bacteria
Description: partial 16S ribosomal RNA
Rfam family: Bacterial small subunit ribosomal RNA
Source: RNAcentral
AGUGAACGCUGGCGGCAGGCCUAACACAUGCAAGUCGAACGGCAGCACAGUAAGAGCUUGCGCUUACGGGUGGCGAGUGGCGGAAGGGUGAGGAAUAUACCGGAAUCUACUUUUUCGUGGGGGAUAACGUAGGGAAACUUACGCUAAUACCGCAUACGACCUACGGGGGAAAGUAGGGGAUCGUCGGACCUUGCGCGAUUGAAUGAGCCGAUGUCGGAUUAGCUAGUUGGCGGGGUAAAGGCCAACCAAGGCGACGAUCCGUAGCUGGUCUGAGAGGAUGAUCAGCCACACUGGAACUGAGACACGGUCCAGACUCCUACGGGAGGCAGCAGUGGGGAAUAUUGGACAAUGGGCGCAAGCCUGAUCCAGCAAUACCGCGUGGGUGAAGAGGGCCUUCGGGUUGUAAAGCCCUUUUGUUGGGAAAGAAAAGCAGCAGGUUAAUACCCGGCGGUACUGACGGUACCCAGAGAAUAAGCACCGGCUAACUUCGUG